AGUGAACGCUGGCGGUAGGCCUAACACAUGCAAGUCGAACGGCAGCACAGUAAGAGCUUGCUCUUACGGGUGGCGAGUGGCGGACGGGUGAGGAAUACAUCGGAAUCUACUUUUUCGUGGGGGAUAACGUAGGGAAACUUACGCUAAUACCGCAUACGACCUACGGGUGAAAGCAGGGGAUCUUCGGACCUUGCGCGAUUGAAUGAGCCGAUGUCGGAUUAGCUAGUUGGCGGGGUAAAGGCCCACCAAGGCGACGAUCCGUAGCUGGUCUGAGAGGAUGAUCAGCCACACUGGAACUGAGACACGGUCCAGACUCCUACGGGAGGCAGCAGUGGGGAAUAUUGGACAAUGGGCGCAAGCCUGAUCCAGCCAUACCGCGUGGGUGAAGAAGGCCUUCGGGUUGUAAAGCCCUUUUGUUGGGUAAGAAAAGCAGCAGGUUAAUACCCCGCUGUUCUGACGGUACCCAAAGAAUAAGCACCGGCUAACUUCG
Molecule: ribosomal RNA, 490 nt
Filed under: uncultured bacterium
Lineage: Bacteria
Description: partial 16S ribosomal RNA
Rfam family: Bacterial small subunit ribosomal RNA
Source: RNAcentral